CUUCAACUGCUGCAGGAGGGACGCGUUGGGGGUGGCACCUGGGCCAGUGUGGUUUGGGUCCCCUAAGCCCUGUUCCCACUGCGCUAUGCCCUGGAAAGAACAUUUCCAGGAGAUGGGGAAAGAAAAGCCACAGCACCAGGGACUGGAACCCGAACCUUCUCACUGAGCUCAGCCUCUCCCUUCUUCCUUUUGUAUUUGGCACAAGUUUUCCUUAAGUUGCUGCUAAGUUUCCCUUGCUGGUCUUGAACUUCAGAUUCUCCUGCUUCAGCCUCCCAGAGGGCUGGGGUUACAGGCUCAAGCAUCUGGCAUUUUCUUGCUUGUGUUCCAACUACUUGUGAUGAAAUGAACAUGCCAGUCUAAUAUGAGACAGCCAGACAGAUGUUGCAGAUAAGUUUUCAGUUUUCCUGGGUGUUCAACAACUGAACUUUGGAGAGCAGAGGCAGAAAAAAUAACUGGGUAAGAGGACAGCCAAUAUUUUGGCCCUGGUCCUCCCAUGUCAACAAGGACCCAGAAGCUGAGGGGAUCUUUUCUACAGGAUCUUACAACUUUGCUCUGGGCUGAUCCCUCCGUGGAGAAAUCCCCAUCUGUCCGCCACUUGCCUCCAAUCUCAGAGUGCGUUCGAUUCUUCUUGGCCUGAUCUUAUUAUACCACUAAGAGCUGCCACACUGUGGACUGUAAGUUCGCUGUUACGGUACAGUACAGAACAACUGUAAAUAAACUAUGUUUACUUGUACAGAUACCUCAAAAAGGUAAGGUGAACUACUUCUGAAAGUUGUUCCAAUCUACAAAUGCAGUAAUGCAAGGUCUGUUCAUAUCUGUGAAAGUUCAUAACUCAAAUGUCUGUAAGUCAGGGAUUUGUUGUAUACUACAAUUAGUGCCACCCAACCCAUAAGAUCCAGCUAUGCAUCAGAUACCUGGGUGGGUGACCAGAACACCUGGAGCCAUCCCAUCCCCAAAAUGUUCCCGUUUUAGAAGUCACAGAUAAGCCAAGGUUAGUGAUGUCAGACAUGUACCCUUGCUAAGUGGCCCUAUCCCUAUUGGAUGAAUAUUAGCUAAGUGGCUAUACUUGUAAUCUUAUUGGUUGAUUAUAUCUUACCUACUUUGUACCCAUAUUUGCUGUAUAAAUUACUCCUGACAAAGGGCCUUGGUGGCAACCCACUUUCAGGACCACUCCUGUCUCUCAGGAGCUAUCUUUCAAUAAAUCUUUCAUAUCGUAAACCUCCAUUGUCCUUUGGAAUUCAUUCUAGAUCGGUGGAUACAAUUGGAACAUCUGACAUCUAGCAGUGUACUAGUUAUAAAUUUGGCUUAUACAGUAAGCACUGAAAAAAAAUGUGGGACCAUAAAGGCCUUGCAUGGUCAGGAAGGCCAGUUCCGCUGAGAUCGAAGCCUGAGACCAGAGCUUUUGAGACUUCACAGUUACUAAACUCCGCCUUGGCACAAUUAACUGCACCAGCCGACUGCGCAGGCG
Molecule: long non-coding RNA, 1468 nt
Filed under: Heterocephalus glaber (naked mole-rat)
Lineage: Eukaryota; Metazoa; Chordata; Mammalia; Rodentia; Bathyergidae
Description: lncRNA (ENSHGLG00000040570.1)
Source: RNAcentral